CAGGGAGGACCACCUCCCAAGGCUAAAUACUACCUGAUGACCGAUAGUGAAGCAGUACCGUGAGGGAAAGGUGAAAAGAACCCCGGGAGGGGAGUGAAAUAGAACCUGAAACCGUGUGCCUACAACCGCUCAGAGCCCCUUAUGAGGGUGAUGAGGUGCUUUUUGUAGAACGAGCCAACGAGUUACGGUAUGUAGCAAGGUUAAGUACUUAAGGUACGGAGCCGAAGGGAAACCGAGUCUGAAUAGGGCGACUAGUUGCAUGCCGUAGACCCGAAACCGGGUGACCUAUCCAUGGCCAGGUUGAAGCGAGGGUAAAACCUCGUGGAGGACCGAACCACGUUGCUGUUGAAAAAGCAUGGGAUGAGCUGUGGAUAGCGGAGAAAUUCCAAUCGAACCCGGAGAUAGCUGGUUCUCUCCGAAAUAGCUUUAGGGCUAGCGUCGAGUAUGAGUAGUGGAGGUAGAGCACUGAAUGGGCUAGGGGGCAUAGCGCUUACCGAACCUUAUCAAACUCCGAAUGCCACAUACUUUGAGCUCGGCAGUCAGACUACGAAUGAUAAGAUCCGUGGUCAAAAGGGAAACAGCCCAGAUCGUCAGCUAAGGUCCCAAAGUGUAAGUUAAGUGGGAAAGGAUGUGAGAUUUCUAAGACAACUAGGAUGUUGGCUUAGAAGCAGCCAUUCAUUAAAAGAGUGCGUAAUAGCUCACUAGUCGAGAGAUCUUGCGCCGAAAAUGUAACGGGGCUAAACUUACCA
Molecule: ribosomal RNA, 749 nt
Filed under: Clostridium perfringens
Lineage: Bacteria; Bacillati; Bacillota; Clostridia; Eubacteriales; Clostridiaceae
Description: partial 23S ribosomal RNA
Rfam family: Bacterial large subunit ribosomal RNA
Source: RNAcentral